UACGUAGGGUGCAAGCGUUAAUCGGAAUUACUGGGCGUAAAGCGCGCGCAGGCGGUCUUCCAAGUCAGUGGUGAAAGCCCGGAGCUCAACUCCGGAAUUGCCAUUGAAACUGUGAGACUGGAGUACGAGAGAGGUGAGUGGAAUUCCCAGUGUAGAGGUGAAAUUCGUAGAUAUUGGGAAGAACACCGGUGGCGAAGGCGGGUCUCUGGGCCGAUACUGACGCUGAGGAGCGAAAGCGUGGGGAGCGAACAGG
RNAcentral lists this ribosomal RNA (253 nucleotides) under uncultured bacterium. Its description in RNAcentral is "partial 16S ribosomal RNA". It matches the Rfam family "Bacterial small subunit ribosomal RNA", at positions 524 to 776 of the family's 1533-position model. The record is from RNAcentral.